UAGUGUAGUUAACACCUGCAUUAUUUGACGUUACCUACAGAAGAAGCACCGGCUAACUCCGUGCCAGCAGCCGCGGUAAUACGGAGGGUGCGAGCGUUAAUCGGAAUUACUGGGCGUAAAGCGCAUGCAGGCGGCCUGUUAAGUCAGAUGUGAAAGCCCCGGGGCUUAACCUCGGAAUUGCAUUUGAAACUGGCAGGCUAGAGUCUUGUAGAGGGGGUAGAAUUUCAGGUGUAGCGGUGAAAUGCGUAGAGAUCUGAAGGAAUACCAGUGGCGAAGGCGGCCCCCUGGACAAAGACUGACGCUCAGAUGCGAAAGCGUGGGGAGCAAACAGGAUUAGAUACCCUGGUAG
RNAcentral lists this ribosomal RNA (349 nucleotides) under uncultured bacterium. Its description in RNAcentral is "bacterial SSU rRNA". It matches the Rfam family "Bacterial small subunit ribosomal RNA", at positions 445 to 793 of the family's 1533-position model. The record is from RNAcentral.